UUGUGAAGUGCAGGAUAACAUGGCUUUUACUGUAUCUCUAGAUAAUUGUAUUAAGUUUUGCUUUCUAGAUGGAUCUAGGGAUGUAUAUCUAGAGAGAGCGAGAAAGUGAGUCUAUCUAGACACGUCUAGACGUAUGUUUGCCUUCUAGAUUGAUGGACCUAUCUAUCUAAACGCAUCCAGACCUAUUAUUUUGCCUUCCUCAGUGAAGAAGAGUACAAAGGGAGCCAACAAUGGGAUAUAUAGCUGUGUCUAGGUCAAUCAAGAUGCGCCUAGACACAAAUCAAGACCCACGCGCCUAAACAGGUCAAAUCAGUUCCAAAUCAUAUUGAUGGAGCAGGCAGAAGUCAUUCGUUCUAAGUACCAUGUAUGGCACUACAACUGGCACACAUCUUCUGUCCCAGGCUCUCACCCCAGGGAAUUCAGAUGCUGACAAAUCCAUUGGCAGGCAGCCUAUGUAGAGGCCCAAACCUGGAGGUCUUGGGAUUCAGCUGGCACCAUUUGAUCUUAGCCUGACUUCUGGAUUUUUAUUUUUUUUUAAUUUUUCAUGUUCCAAAUCAGCCAAAUCAAUUCCAAAUCCGUGAGUCAUUCAAGAACCGUAUUUAGCCCUACUAUCAGCAAACAUUCUCCAGCCCUGCCUGGGGCUUCAGGUGCUUCCAAAUCAUUUGGCAGGCAUCCUACAUGCAGACCCAAGCCCAGAGACUUGGGGUUUGGAUGCCCCGAGUUUCGCUUUUCUUCAGCCAUGCAACUGCAGGAGUAACUUAGGGAGAAGUCUCCCAUCUCCAUGAAGUGGGCGUAAAGCCAAGACCUUCCCCCUGGAAAUGGCAGUGGGAGGUUAACUAUGCAAUACCUCUGCCCAGGUACAACCCCUUGCCAGAAAAGCAGUUAUCCCCAGUAACUAGGAAAACUGCCUUAAUGAUCAUACUGUUUCCCCUGCCAUUUGCAGUCAGCACUUUCUUAUGACUGCUUACCUGGAAAUAAAGAAAGGCUUCAACUUUGA
Molecule: long non-coding RNA, 997 nt
Organism: Alligator mississippiensis (American alligator)
Lineage: Eukaryota; Metazoa; Chordata; Crocodylia; Alligatoridae
Exons: 2
Source: RefSeq, a predicted model, not a curated record